This is a long non-coding RNA of Vitis riparia (riverbank grape), 1699 nucleotides long. RefSeq lists it as uncharacterized. The transcript is spliced from 3 exons. The record is from RefSeq and is a predicted model, not a curated record. Lineage: Eukaryota; Viridiplantae; Streptophyta; Magnoliopsida; Vitales; Vitaceae.
UUUUAACUGGUGGGUUAUUUUUACAAAUAUGAGGAUUAUUUUGACCCCUUUAACCAAAUAACCCUAUUUGUUUCAUAAGAUGGACAAGGUCUGGCAUGGAAUUAGACCAGGUGCCUUUGGUGUCUGCUUUGUCAGCCUGUGCUGAAUUUGGGGGACUUGAAUUUGUCAAGUGGAUCCACUUGUACAUUGAUGAGAGAUUGCAUCUUGGGAAUCAGCCAUUGCUUGUGUCUUUGAGUAAUUCGCUCAUACACAUGUGUGCCAGCUGUGGUCUAAUUGAUAAAGCUUACAGAGUCUUCAUAGGGAUGCAACAAAGAAACAUUGUUUCUUGGAAUACCAUGAUCACAGGUUUUGCAAACCAAGGCUAUGGGGAAGCAACUCUUUGUGUGUUUUGAUGGAUACAGAGCUUGGGAAUGAAUGACACAAUACGUUAUACAAUAACCUUCAUUAGAGUUCUGUGUGUCUGCGGCCAUUCUGGAUUUCUUGACCAGGUCCAUCAUUUUUGUUUUGAGUUCAGAAUCUGGGGAGAUCCUGAUUUGGGUGGGUCACAAUAUAUUGAGGUUUGAUUAUGUUUGAAUUUGGGAGUUGGGGAGAUUGGUCAGGUACCAUCAGAGCCCAAGUGUUUAGUAGAUUACUUGGCAUUGUUGACUCAGAGGUUUGGCAGGAGAGCUGGGGAUAUGAAGCAUGUAAAUGAUAUGGGGGUUGAUAACAUUAAGAAAAUCUAACCUCUUUGGCAAUCAAAUAUGGUGAAAAAGUCUAGCUGGCAGCUGCAAUUACCUAUUCCACUACAACAGUUUGGGAACAGAAAAGUAUGUAGAUUUUGUUAUUGAAGUGUAGGGAAGUUACAAGGAAAUCUCUUACUUUCUUUUGUCUUUCAUUGAACCCAAGAUUAUUGGUUCUCUUGGAGUAAUCUUUCUUGCCAUGAUUUUUCUGGAGCUUAGAUUAUGGUCGGAUAAAUCUGGAAGUUCUUUAGUGUUGUGCAAUGGCUUUGUUCUUGGAGUCAAGCCUCCUGACAUACUUACAACAGACAGUUGGAUUUCUCCAAAUACCAUUACAAGGACUCGUGCUAAUGGAAAAGCUUCUUCAGAGGGAAUGAGUCUAAACAUGAGUACCCCUUCAUCAAGUCUGAAGUUUGAAAAUCAUUCAGUUUUGAAAAUCAUUCAGCACUAUCUCCCAGUGAUCACAGCAGUGUGGAAGGAGUCUUAAAUCUAGUGGAACUUAACACAAACAAACCAGACCCUUUCAACUUAGGUCCACUCAUGAAAUUGAAAGAGUCCCUUCAGCCCGUGGAAGGAAAAGCUGGGAUAGAGUCUCUUAAUAUGCCUUCACAGCAGCUGCAUCUGAGGAUUUCUGUAGCUAUGCUGGCUGCUUGGAUCCUGCAGAAGUUUCUGCUGGUUCUAUCAGUGCAUCUCUUGUUCCAUUUUAUUGUGGGACUCAGAGAAUGCAAAAAUUGCACAAAGAUGUCAAGUUGCUGCUAUGUUGUACUCAACUGAGAGUCAGGUUUGGGAUAAGUACAAAAUUUGUUGAUCGUGUUAGGCAGCCAUGGUUGAGUUUUGAGGUGGAUGAAUCUCCAAGCCUAUGCCAGGUUCUUGAUGCAUGUGGCCAGGUUGUUCACAUGUCCAUGGAUUCUGGUAGCAGAUCCAAGUGGAGGCCUGUUGUGACCUGAAAGAAUGGGUUUUUAAACUCUCCUACCAUAUGAUAA